Molecule: long non-coding RNA, 1118 nt
Filed under: Mus musculus (house mouse)
Lineage: Eukaryota; Metazoa; Chordata; Mammalia; Rodentia; Muridae
Description: predicted gene 11491
Source: RNAcentral
GCCCUUCGCCUCGCAGAUUUUACCGCCAGUGAUGUAGGCUCCUUGGUGCGUCCUAAUUGGAAGAAGCCACGCUCCCGAGUAUUAGGAAGGGACGGAGAGUCUUAUUUGCGUUCCCAUUGUUUGUGGGUCACCUAAGGAGACCCUGGAGCCGGGAACUCUUGCUUGGUUAGUGUUUGCUUUCCGCCUCUGGGAGGAAACGCAGACUUUAAGCUUUAAAAAAAAAAAAAAAAAAAAAAAAACUUAGUCCCCCUCCAUAGUAAAUGCAUUUGAAAGCUCCAAUUGUAAUGGACCGGCGAUUUCUCUUGACCUGUUAUUUUGAGACAAGGUUUCUUUAGUUCAUGAUAGACUGGACGUAUAGUGAAGUCUCCAAGCUUCCUGGAAGUAAGGAUUGCAGGGGAGAGGUACCACGUCUUCUCAUUUUGUUCCAGCCCAACAUGGCCUACAGAGUGAGAUCCUGUCUUAAAAAACAAGAGAAGGCUGAAAAAAUGGCUCAGCACCUGCUGCUCUUCCAGAAGACCCAGUCACAGGACAUCUACGCUUCUUACAAUUUCCUCAUCUGAAAUGCAUCACGAUCCUCUCGGUCAAGGGAAAUGUCAGGCUUCCUCAUCAGCCCCGCCUCUAGACGUCUCGCCCAAUCUCUGCAGUUGGUCUUCUUUCCACCAGCCUUCCUCUUUAACAUUUUUUAUCAGUCCGGCAUAUGAGAUUUUAAUGGCUCUGUUGCAGCUUUCUCUUCUUCAGUCAGUAGAGUUAGCUAGAAAAACAAAUAACAAAAUGUUUAUUUCAAAACCUUCAAAGGUUGUUAAACGAGUUAAAUUUUGCUUCAUUGCACAAACGUUUUCAUAAUCUUAUACUACAUAUUUAGUCUUGAAAUUUGAAAGGCAAGGGAAAACAAUAGCCAUCUGGCUAUUUAUAUACUGUAGUUGGGCUUUCAAAGAACUUGCAAUUAGGCUGUACAAACAAGAUCAAGAAAUCAAACAAAGGACUAUCAUUUAACAGAACUAAAUGUAUGUUUGAAUACCAUAUUUGGAAAAGAGAUUUAGACCAAAACAGUAGGAAUUUUACCCAGAGAAAUAACUGUGUGCUGAAUUUUGAAGACCCCAUCUCAAAAAAAAAAAAAA